Molecule: unclassified non-coding RNA, 254 nt
Filed under: Basidiomycota sp.
Lineage: Eukaryota; Fungi; Basidiomycota
Description: partial contains small subunit ribosomal RNA, internal transcribed spacer 1, and 5.8S ribosomal RNA
Rfam family: Eukaryotic small subunit ribosomal RNA (bases 1-47)
Source: RNAcentral
AAAGUCGUAACAAGGUUUCCGUAGGUGAACCUGCGGAAGGAUCAUUACAAGGUUUAACUGUCGCUCGCCUUCUUGGGUGGUUCGGCAGACCCCACGAUUCAUCCCAUGUGCACUCAUUGAGAAAAGGCCUCUGCGCAGGCGGAGGGCCUUUUUUUAUUAUUAUUUUUUAUUACCUCUUUAAAUUUUGCCUGAUACUUUUUUCUUGAUAAAAAUAAAAUGAAAUACAACUUUCAACAACGGAUCUCUUGGCUCUC